Molecule: ribosomal RNA, 504 nt
Filed under: uncultured bacterium
Lineage: Bacteria
Description: bacterial SSU rRNA
Rfam family: Bacterial small subunit ribosomal RNA
Source: RNAcentral
GACGAACGCUGGCGGCGUGCCUAACACAUGCAAGUCGAGCGGGGUUGAGGCGAGAGGUAACUCGAGCUUCUACCUAGCGGCGGACGGGUGAGUAACGCGUGGGCAACCUGCCUCAAGGUUUGGGAUAACAGCCCGAAAGGGCUGCUAAUACCGGAUAUGCCUAUGGCCUCGCAUGGGGCUAUGAGCAAAGGGGAAACCCGCCUUGAGAUGGGCCCGCGUCCCAUCAGCUAGUUGGUGAGGUAACAGCUCACCAAGGCGACGACGGGUAGCCGGCCUGAGAGGGUGACCGGCCACACUGGGACUGAGACACGGCCCAGACUCCUACGGGGGGCAGCAGUGGGGGAUCUUGCACAAUGGGCGAAAGCCUGAUGCAGCGACGCCGCGUGAGCGAAGAAGGCCUUCGGGUUGUAAAGCUCUGUCUGGAGGGACGAACAAAAUGACGGUACCGUCCGGAGGAAGCCACGGCUAACUACGUGCCAGCAGCCGCGGUAAAUCACGUGUACG